AGUGAACGCUGGCGGUAGGCCUAACACAUGCAAGUCGAACGGCAGCACAGUAAGAGCUUGCUCUUACGGGUGGCGAGUGGCGGACGGGUGAGGAAUACAUCGGAAUCUACUUUUUCGUGGGGGAUAACGUAGGGAAACUUACGCUAAUACCGCAUACGACCUACGGGUGAAAGCAGGGGAUCUUCGGACCUUGCGCGAUUGAAUGAGCCGAUGUCGGAUUAGCUAGUUGGCGGGGUAAAGGCCCACCAAGGCGACAAUCCGUAGCGGGUCUGAGAGGAUGAUCAGCCACACUGGAACUGAGACACGGUCCAGACUCCUACGGGAGGCAGCAGUGGGGAAUAUUGGACACUGGGCGCAAGCCUGAUCCAGCCAUACCGCGUGGGUGAAGAAGGCCUUCGGGUUGUAAAGCCCUUUUGUUGGGAAAGAAAAGCAGCAGGUUAAUACCCCGCUGUUCUGACGGUACCCAAAGAAUAAGCACCGGCUAACUUCGU
RNAcentral lists this ribosomal RNA (491 nucleotides) under uncultured bacterium. Its description in RNAcentral is "partial 16S ribosomal RNA". It matches the Rfam family "Bacterial small subunit ribosomal RNA", at positions 29 to 506 of the family's 1533-position model. The record is from RNAcentral.